AUUGAACGCUGGCGGCAGGCCUAACACAUGCAAGUCGAGCGGAUGAAGGGAGCUUGCUCCUGGAUUCCGCGGCGGACGGGUGAGUAAUGCCUAGGAAUCUGCCUGGUCGUGGGGGAUAACGUCCGGAAACGGGCGCUAAUACCGCAUACGUCCUGAGGUAGAAAGUGGGGGAUCUUCGGACCUCACGCUAUCAGCUGAGCCUAGGUCGGAUUAGCUAGUUGGUGGGGUAAAGGCCUACCAAGGCGACGAUCCGUAACUGGUCUGAGAGGAUGAUCAGUCACACUGGAACUGAGACACGGUCCAGACUCCUACGGGAGGCAGCAGUGGGGAAUAUUGGACAAUGGGCGAAAGCCUGAUCCAGCCAUGCCGCGUGUGUGAAGAAGGUCUUCGGAUUGUAAAGCACUUUAAGUUGGGAGGAAGGGCAGUAAGUUAAUACCUGGCUGUUUUGACGUUACCAACAGAAUAAGCACCGGCUAACUUCGUG
Molecule: ribosomal RNA, 484 nt
Filed under: uncultured bacterium
Lineage: Bacteria
Description: partial 16S ribosomal RNA
Rfam family: Bacterial small subunit ribosomal RNA
Source: RNAcentral